Molecule: ribosomal RNA, 473 nt
Filed under: uncultured bacterium
Lineage: Bacteria
Description: bacterial SSU rRNA
Rfam family: Bacterial small subunit ribosomal RNA
Source: RNAcentral
UAGUCCACGCCGUAAACGAUGGAUACUAGCUGUCCGGUCUUCGGACUGGGUGGCCCAGCGAAAGUGAUAAGUAUCCCACCUGGGGAGUACGUUCGCAAGAAUGAAACUCAAAGGAAUUGACGGGGCCCGCACAAGCGGUGGAGCAUGUGGUUUAAUUCGAUGAUACGCGAGGAACCUUACCAGGGCUUAAAUGUAGAUUGACAGGACUAGAGAUAGUUUUUCCUUCGGGCAAUUUACAAGGUGCUGCAUGGUUGUCGUCAGCUCGUGCCGUGAGGUGUCAGGUUAAGUCCUAUAACGAGCGCAACCCCUGUUGUUAGUUGCCAGCACAUUAUGGUGGGAACUCUAGCAAGACUGCCGGUGCAAACCGUGAGGAAGGUGGGGAUGACGUCAAAUCAUCACGGCCCUUACGUCCUGGGGCUACACACGUGCUACAAUGGUAGGUACAGAGAGCAGCCACUGCGCGAGCAGGGAGC